Molecule: ribosomal RNA, 497 nt
Filed under: uncultured bacterium
Lineage: Bacteria
Description: partial 16S ribosomal RNA
Rfam family: Bacterial small subunit ribosomal RNA
Source: RNAcentral
GAUGAACGCUGGCGGCGUGCCUAAUACAUGCAAGUCGAGCGAACGGACGAGAAGCUUGCUUCUCUGAUGUUAGCGGCGGACGGGUGAGUAACACGUGGAUAACCUACCUAUAAGACUGGGAUAACUUCGGGAAACCGGAGCUAAUACCGGAUAAUAUUUUGAACCGCAUGGUUCAAAAGUGAAAGACGGUCUUGCUGUCACUUAUAGAUGGUUCCGCGCUGCAUUAGCUAGUUGGUAAGGUAACGGCUUACCAAGGCAACGAUGCAUAGCCGACCUGAGAGGGUGAUCGGCCACACUGGAGCUGAGACACGGUCCAGACUCCUACGGGAGGCAGCAGUAGGGAAUCUUCCGCAAUGGGCGAAAGCCUGACGGAGCAACGCCGCGUGAGUGAUGAAGGUCUUCGGAUCGUAAAACUCUGUUAUUAGGGAAGAACAUAUGUGUAAGUAACUGUGCACAUCUUGACGGUACCUAAUCAGAAAGCCACGGCUAACUACGUG